RNAcentral lists this ribosomal RNA (624 nucleotides) under uncultured bacterium. RNAcentral's name for it is "bacterial SSU rRNA". It matches the Rfam family "Bacterial small subunit ribosomal RNA", at positions 1 to 581 of the family's 1533-position model. The record is from RNAcentral.
CUANCGGUACUCGCGAAUGCAUNCGAUUGUUUAAGAUCCUGGCUCAGAUUGACCGCUGGCGUGAAUGCCUUACACAUGCAAGUCGAACGGUAACAGGUCUUCGGACGCUGACGAGUGGCGAACGGGUGAGUAAUACAUCGGAACGUGCCCAGUCGUGGGGGAUAACUACUCGAAAGAGUAGCUAAUACCGCAUACGAUCUGAGGAUGAAAGCGGGGGACCUUCGGGCCUCGCGCGAUUGGAGCGGCCGAUGGCAGAUUAGGUAGUUGGUGGGAUAAAAGCUUACCAAGCCGACGAUCUGUAGCUGGUCUGAGAGGACGACCAGCCACACUGGGACUGAGACACGGCCCAGACUCCUACGGGAGGCAGCAGUGGGGAAUUUUGGACAAUGGGCGAAAGCCUGAUCCAGCAAUGCCGCGUGCAGGAUGACGGCCUUCGGGUUGUAAACUGCUUUUGUACGGAACGAGAAAGCUCCUUCUAAUACAGAGGGAGCCCAUGACGGUAACCGUAAGAAUAAAGCACCGGCUAAACUACGUGCCAGCAGACCGGCUGGGUAAAUACCGAUACGGGGUGCGCAGCCGUUACAUCGGAAUUUACCUGGGGCGUAACANGCGUUGCCGCCACGC